GCUARAMGAUGAMGAGUGGCGGACGGGUGAGUAAUGCUUGGGAACUUGCCUUUGGGAGGGGGAUAACAGUUGGAAACGACUGCUAAUACCGCAUAACGUCUACGGACCAAAGGGGGCUUAGGCUCCUACCUGAAGAGAGGCCCAAGUGAGAUUAGCUAGUUGGUAAGGUAACGGCUUACCAAGGCRACGAUCUCUAGCUGUUCUGAGAGGAAGAUCAGCCACACUGGGACUGAGACACGGCCCAGACUCCUACGGGAGGCAGCAGUGGGGAAUAUUGCACAAUGGGGGAAACCCUGAUGCAGCCAUGCCGCGUGUGUGAAGAAGGCCUUCGGGUUGUAAAGCACUUUCAGUUGUGAGGAAAGGUUGGUAGUUAAUACCUGCCAGCUGUGACGUUAACAACAGAAGAAGCACCGGCUAACUCCGUGCCAGCAGCCGCGGUAAUACGGAGGGUGCGAGCGUUAAUCGGAAUUACUGGGCGUAAAGCGCACGCAGGCGGUUUGUUAAGCUAGAUGUGAAAGCCCCGGGCUCAACCUGGGAUGGUCAUUUAGAACUGGCAGACUAGAGUCUUGGAGAGGGGAGUG
This 581-nucleotide ribosomal RNA is filed under the name Alteromonas macleodii. RNAcentral describes it as "bacterial SSU rRNA". It matches the Rfam family "Bacterial small subunit ribosomal RNA", at positions 79 to 663 of the family's 1533-position model. Lineage: Bacteria; Pseudomonadati; Pseudomonadota; Gammaproteobacteria; Alteromonadales; Alteromonadaceae. The record is from RNAcentral.